UAUAAACUAAAAAUCACGAUUUAACGGUUAUUUUAACUCCGAUUUUGAUGAUUUUUUACAGCUACACUCCUUGACCUUAUAUGAAUACAAUGAAUGAAUUCGAUCUUCAAUUUAAAAUAUUUACACUAGUGGAUACCACAAAAUCUUAUGUUAUACUUAAUGAAAGUAAGAAUAAACUCUUAAGUGUUAGUGAAUCUAUUGUUUUGAUGAGAUACGCAUUCUACGAAACUCUACGAAACUAGUUUCAACGAUCUAACCGUCAUACUUGUUUGUAUAUGUUUCGAGAUCGCAUACGCCAAAAAUUGCAAAAAACAAACAUUUAAAGAUUAAGUAAUGGGACAAAACUUUUCGACGGUUAUAAACUAAAAAUCACAAUUUAACGGUUAUUUUAACUUCGAUUUUGAUGAUUUUUUACAACUACACUCAUUGACCCUAUAUGAAUACAAUGAAUGAAUUCGAUCUUCAAUUUAAAAUAUUUACACUAGUGGAUACCACAAAAUCUUAUGUUAUACUUAAUGAAAGUACGAAUAAACACUCUAGUGGGUCACUUUCAUUAAGCUUUGAGUUCCAUU
RNAcentral lists this long non-coding RNA (572 nucleotides) under Malus domestica (apple). Its description in RNAcentral is "long non-coding RNA (MDOM_LNC000593)". Lineage: Eukaryota; Viridiplantae; Streptophyta; Magnoliopsida; Rosales; Rosaceae. The record is from RNAcentral.